GUGGGGAAUAUUGCACAAUGGGGGAAACCCUGAUGCAGCGACGCCGCGUGAAGGAAGAAGUAUCUCGGUAUGUAAACUUCUAUCGGCAGGGAAGAAUAAGGACGGUACCUGACUAAGAAGCCCCGGCUAACUACGUGCCAGCAGCCGCGGUAAUACGUAGGGGGCGAGCGUUAUCCGGAUUCACUGGGUGUAAAGGGAGCGUAGACGGCUGGGCAAGCCUGAUGUGAAAGGCGGGGGCGCAACCCUCGGACUGCAUUGGGAACUGUCCGGCUGGAGCGCCGGAGGGGUAAGCGGAAUUCCUGGUGUAGCGGUGAAAUGCGUAGAUAUCAGGAGGAACACCGGUGGCGAAGGCGGCUUACUGGACGGCGUCUGACGUUGAGGCUCGAAAGCGUGGGGAGCGAACAGGA
Molecule: ribosomal RNA, 407 nt
Filed under: uncultured bacterium
Lineage: Bacteria
Description: bacterial SSU rRNA
Rfam family: Bacterial small subunit ribosomal RNA
Source: RNAcentral